Molecule: long non-coding RNA, 1376 nt
Filed under: Pongo abelii (Sumatran orangutan)
Lineage: Eukaryota; Metazoa; Chordata; Mammalia; Primates; Hominidae
Description: lncRNA (ENSPPYG00000036395.1)
Source: RNAcentral
GCUGGGGGAAGCAAUGCUGAAGCCCUGAGCACAUGGCAGGCCUGGCAGGCCUGGCAGGCCGGCCUCUGUACUUACUCCAGCCUGGCCUGCCCAGGAGGGGACUGGGGGACGGGUGGGCUCUCAGGGGCCCUGAGUAGGGGAGAUGAGAGGAAGAGAUGGUAACUGUGGUGUCAGCUCCAUGGUUGCUCAUACCAACACAGAGCUAGGCAGUGAUAUUGGGGUUCCUUCCCAGCCGCAGUGGGAAGGGGGAGAAGGUAUGACACGAGGAAACUGGAAGUGGAGGGGAGAGACUGAUGUGGAGCAGGACAGGGUGCAGGAAGAGACAGAGGCAGCAGAACAAGGGAGUGACAGAUAGUGGGCGGGAGACAUGACAAGAGGCAAAGACAGGCAGAACGUCGGAGGAGACAAAGGAAACCACAGGAGGAGGAGAUCCAGUCAGAGCCGAACCCCACCCGCUGGCAGUCACUUACCAAACGGGAGCAGUUUGGUGAAGUCUGGAAAGAGAGAGAGAGAAGAAAGCACGCGUUUGGGCAGAGGAGGCUGAGUGCCCAUGGAGGGGCGCAAAGCGGAGGGACAGUGGGAGAGAGGACUCCAGGGUGGCCUCUGUCUCCCUACUUACUUGUAGAUGCUCCUCUCGCUGGAGGUGUCAGCUGAGGGUGCCACAGAGAUGGUAGGAAAAAGGUUCACUGAAGCUUGGAGACCGAAGGAAGGACCCACAGGGCUGGAGGCGGGGCCUGUCAACAGGGCGGGGCCGGUGGAAGAGAGCGUAGGGCCCGGCCCACCUCGUAGAGCACAAGCUGCGUGCGCAGGUCAACGUCAGUGCCCGCAGUGCCCAGGUGGCGCUGGACCAGCGCUUCCAUGCCCUGCUGCUCCAGUGCAUCCGUCACAUCGUAGAAGGAGUCCUGGUCCGGGAGCGCCGCCAGCGUCUAGAGGGCGGGGAUAAGAAGGCAAGGCUGAGGUUGGUGGGGAAGUCAGGAGCUUGAGCAUCCCAGAGCUGGCACCCAGUCCUUGGCCACACCUUGUUGAUGAGGGUGACCGUGUACACCAACAACUCAGGGUCAGCGCCAUUCUUCUCCUCCAGGAUGGACACCAGAUUGGCCCAGGGAAGAGCACCUGCCACAAAGAAAGUGGAGCAGUCAUGGGGGAAUAGGUAGGAGAGAAGGCUCUGAGCGGUGGGGGAGAAAGGGACAGUCUCUGACCGGUGGUGCUGGCCACAGAGUUCACUGCACGGAUGAACAGCGGUGCGUUGUUUUCAGAGUAUUCUACAAACACCAACAGCAGCUUCAGGGCUGUCUUCACCACCAAGCGGGACUGAGGAAAGAGGUCAGCACAUAUGAGUGGGGCUUAGGCCAGACCUGUGCCAGCUGUUGCUGGGG